UACAGAGGUCUCAAGCGUUGUCCGGAAUCAUUGGGCGUAAAGAGCGCGUAGGCGGCCAGAUAAGUCCGGUGUGAAAGUCAAAGGCUCAACCUUUGAAUGCCGCUGGAAACUGUCUGGCUAGAGUCCGGGAGGGGCGAGUGGAAUUCCUGGUGUAGCGGUGAAAUGCGCAGAUAUCAGGAGGAACACCAAUGGCGAAGGCAGCUCGCUGGAACGGUACUGACGCUGAGGCGCGAAAGCGUGGGGAGCGAACAGG
This 253-nucleotide ribosomal RNA is filed under the name uncultured bacterium. RNAcentral's name for it is "partial 16S ribosomal RNA". It matches the Rfam family "Bacterial small subunit ribosomal RNA", at positions 524 to 776 of the family's 1533-position model. The record is from RNAcentral.